Molecule: ribosomal RNA, 746 nt
Filed under: uncultured bacterium
Lineage: Bacteria
Description: bacterial SSU rRNA
Rfam family: Bacterial small subunit ribosomal RNA
Source: RNAcentral
GUUUGUCGCGUCUGCUGUGAAAAUCUGAGGCUCAACCUCGGACUUGCAGUGGGUACGGGCAGACUAGAGUGCGGUAGGGGAGAAGGGAAUUCCUGGUGUAGCGGUGGAAUGCGCAGAUAUCAGGAGGAACACCAAUGGCGAAGGCACUUCUCUGGGCCGCUACUGACGCUGAGGAGCGAAAGCGUGGGGAGCGAACAGGAUUAGAUACCCUGGUAGUCCACGCCGUAAACGUUGGGCGCUAGAUGUGGGUCACAUUCCACGUGAUCCGUGUCGCAGCUAACGCAUUAAGCGCCCCGCCUGGGGAGUACGGCCGUAAGGCUAAAACUCAAAGGAAUUGACGGGGGCCCGCACAAGCGGCGGAGCAUGCGGAUUAAUUCGAUGCAACGCGAAGAACCUUACCAAGGCUUGACAUAUAGAGGAAAACUGCAGAAAUGUAGUCCCCGCAAGGUCUCUAUACAGGUGGUGCAUGGUUGUCGUCAGCUCGUGUCGUGAGAUGUUGGGUUAAGUCCCGCAACGAGCGCAACCCUCGUCCUAUGUUGCCAGCACGUUAUGGUGGGAACUCAUGGGAGACUGCCGGGGUCAACUCGGAGGAAGGUGGGGAUGACGUCAAAUCAUCAUGCCCCUUAUGUCUUGGGCUUCACGCAUGCUACAAUGGCCGGUACAAAGGGCUGCAAUACCGCAAGGUGGAGCGAAUCCCAAAAAGCCGGUCUCAGUUCGGAUUGAGGUCUGCAACUCGACCUCAUGAA